RNAcentral lists this transfer RNA (120 nucleotides) under Candidatus Woesearchaeota archaeon. RNAcentral's name for it is "tRNA-Ser". Lineage: Archaea; Nanobdellati; Candidatus Woesearchaeota. The record is from RNAcentral.
GCCGCCAUCGCAUAAUCUGGUAUUGCACAGGCCUGGAAAGCCUGGCCCGCAAGGGCAUCCCGGUUCAAAUGUGCUCGAGGGGUUAACUCCCUUCGGUUGUUGAAAGUCCGGGUGGCGGCG